AAACGAGUAUUCCCUAUCAGAGCCGUGGAAGACCACCACGUUGAUAGGCCGGGUGUGGAAGUGCGGCAACGCAUGCAGCUUACCGGUACUAAUAGCUCGAUCGACUUGAUCACUCCCAUUU
RNAcentral lists this ribosomal RNA (121 nucleotides) under Brucella suis. RNAcentral's name for it is "partial 23S ribosomal RNA". It matches the Rfam family "Bacterial large subunit ribosomal RNA", at positions 2802 to 2925 of the family's 2925-position model. Lineage: Bacteria; Pseudomonadati; Pseudomonadota; Alphaproteobacteria; Hyphomicrobiales; Brucellaceae. The record is from RNAcentral.